This 24-nucleotide small nuclear RNA is filed under the name Arabidopsis thaliana (thale cress). RNAcentral's name for it is "snRNA_12884". The record is from RNAcentral. Lineage: Eukaryota; Viridiplantae; Streptophyta; Magnoliopsida; Brassicales; Brassicaceae.
AAAUCAUCUAUAUAUUAAAAGAGA